RNAcentral lists this small RNA (131 nucleotides) under Salmonella enterica subsp. enterica serovar Muenchen. RNAcentral's name for it is "RtT sRNA". It matches the Rfam family "RtT RNA". From Rfam's summary of the family: This family represents a bacterial cis-regulatory element known as RtT RNA. The exact function of RtT is unknown although it is thought that it may be involved in changing the cellular response in relation to amino acid starvation. The record is from RNAcentral. RNAcentral also lists the same sequence under 13 other names. Lineage: Bacteria; Pseudomonadati; Pseudomonadota; Gammaproteobacteria; Enterobacterales; Enterobacteriaceae.
GUUUGCACUUGUCGGGGAAGGGUGAGAACCUUCGAUUAAGGUUCGACUCGAGCGAAGCGAGAGAACGUUGCCAACGGCAACGGCCCGUAGGGUGAGGAGCGAAGCGACGAAUAAUCCUUCCCCCACCACCA